Molecule: long non-coding RNA, 574 nt
Filed under: Urocitellus parryii (Arctic ground squirrel)
Lineage: Eukaryota; Metazoa; Chordata; Mammalia; Rodentia; Sciuridae
Description: lncRNA (ENSUPAG00010020946.1)
Source: RNAcentral
GGGCGGCCUGCCCUGAGGCUUCAGACCKACCAAGUCUCCACGGAUGGUGAACCAGUUCCUUAAGCUCUCAUCCUGCUGCUUCUGCUCCYCGGGAAAGCUCUCUUCUCCACUGGGCUCCUGCAGACGACCUUGUGGAUUGGGACCAGCCCGUGGGGGUGUGGUUUAAAUCCUGUCUCCACCGCUGCCCACUGGGUGUUCCAGCCUCCCUCACGACCAGGUUCUGCCGUGAGAGCAGUCGGAGCUUGGCAGAGGGAGGCCGAGGAGAUGAAGGUCAGCAGGCGGAGGGGCCCGAAGCAGGGAGAAGGGAAGGCUGGCUCCUGAGGCCCUCACCCUGUGCCCAGCGCUGGCUGUGCCCCGGGUCCCCGGCUCGUGUGACCRCUGUUCCCCACCCAACCCCUCUUAGCCUGGACUAUUCCUGAGGAGAAAGGGACCCAGUAGCAAGACUUCCCCCUUCACUUCUUGGAGAUCAGAUAUUUGAUUUUCUCCUUCAGCAAUUGUCCUUGAAGGGUGCAAAAUAUAUUUAAGCAAUCAAUGGCAGACACAUCCCGGCUUCUCUGAAUCAGAUAAAGGUCGC